This 899-nucleotide ribosomal RNA is filed under the name uncultured bacterium. Its description in RNAcentral is "bacterial SSU rRNA". It matches the Rfam family "Bacterial small subunit ribosomal RNA", at positions 8 to 916 of the family's 1533-position model. The record is from RNAcentral.
AGAGUUUGAUCCUGGCUCAGAAUGAACGUUGGCGGCGUGGAUUAGGCAUGCAAGUCGUGCGGAAAGGCCCCGUAAGGGGUGCUCGAGUGGCGAAAGGGAUAGUAACGCGUAGGUCACCUACCCUCGGGACGGGGAUAGCUGGGGGAAACUCCAAUUAAUACCCGAUGACGUCCUAGGACCAAAGGUGUGAUUCCGCCUGAGGACGGGCCUGCGUCUUAUCAGCUAGUUGGUGAGGUAAUGGCUCACCAAGGCGACGACGAGUAGCGGGUGUGAGAGCACGACCCGCAUCACYGGGACUGAGGCACUGCCCAGACACCUACGGGUGGCUGCAGUCGAGGAUCUUCGGCAAUGGGCGAAAGCCUGACCGAGCGACGCCGCGUGCGGGAUGAAGGCCUUCGGGUUGUAAACCGCUGUCAGUGGGGAGGAAAUCUGGGAGGGAUCACCCUUCCAGUUGACCUAUCCGCAGAGGAAGGACGGGCUAAGUUCGUGCCAGCAGCCGCGGUAAUACGAACCGUCCUAACGUUAUUCGGAAUCACUGGGCUUAAAGGGUGCGUAGGCGGUCCGGUAAGUUGGGUGUGAAAUUCCUCGGUUUAACCGAGGAACGGCGCUCAAGACUGCCGGACUUGAGGGAGACAGAGGUGAGUGGAACUUAGGGUGGAGCGGUGAAAUGCGUUGAUAUCCUAAGGAAUAUUGGUGGCGAAAGCGACUCACUGGGUCUCUUCUGACGCUGAGGCACGAAAGCUAGGGUAGCGAACGGGAUUAGAUACCCCGGUAGUCCUAGCCGUAAACGAUGAGCACUAGAUCGAAGGGUACACCAUAGCCUUUUGGUCGUAGCGAAAGUGUUAAGUGCUCCGCCUGGGGAGUAUGGUCGCAAGGCUGAAACUUAAAGGAAUUGACGG